RNAcentral lists this ribosomal RNA (392 nucleotides) under uncultured bacterium. RNAcentral's name for it is "partial 16S ribosomal RNA". It matches the Rfam family "Bacterial small subunit ribosomal RNA", at positions 523 to 918 of the family's 1533-position model. The record is from RNAcentral.
AUACGUAGGUGGCAAGCGUUAUCCGGAAUUAUUGGGCGUAAAGAGGGAGCAGGCGGCAGCAAGGGUCUGUGGUGAAAGCCUGAAGCUUAACUUCAGUAAGCCAUAGAAACCAGGCAGCUAGAGUGCAGGAGAGGAUCGUGGAAUUCCAUGUGUAGCGGUGAAAUGCGUAGAUAUAUGGAGGAACACCAGUGGCGAAGGCGACGAUCUGGCCUGAAACUGACGCGUAUUCCCGAAAGCGUGGGGAGAAAAUAGGAUUAGAUACCCUAGUAGUCCACGCCGGAAACGAUGAGUACUAAGUGUUGGAUGUCAAAGUUCAGUGCUGCAGUUAACGCAAUAAGUACUCCGCCUGAGUAGUACGUUCGCAAGAAUGAAACUCAAAUGAAUUGGCGGGG